AAAUCGGNGAGGGGUCAAGGCCCCUCUAUUCCCAAAAAAAGCCCAUUU
Molecule: transfer RNA, 48 nt
Filed under: Hamamelis japonica (Japanese witch hazel)
Lineage: Eukaryota; Viridiplantae; Streptophyta; Magnoliopsida; Saxifragales; Hamamelidaceae
Description: partial tRNA-Leu
Source: RNAcentral